This 251-nucleotide ribosomal RNA is filed under the name uncultured bacterium. Its description in RNAcentral is "partial 16S ribosomal RNA". It matches the Rfam family "Bacterial small subunit ribosomal RNA", at positions 525 to 775 of the family's 1533-position model. The record is from RNAcentral.
ACAUAGGGGGCAAGCGUUAUCCGGAAUUAUUGGGCGUAAAGCGUGCGUAGGCGGUUUAUUAAGUCUGAUGUGAAAUCCCAUAGCUUAACUAUGGAGGGUCAUUGGAAACUGGUAAACUUGAGUACAGUAGGGGUAAGUGGAAUUCCAAGUGGAGCGGUGGAAUGCGUAGAUAUUUGGAGGAACACCAGUGGCGAAGGCGGCUUACUGGGCUGGAACUGACGCUGAGGCACGAAAGCGUGGGGAGCAAACAG